Molecule: ribosomal RNA, 253 nt
Filed under: uncultured bacterium
Lineage: Bacteria
Description: partial 16S ribosomal RNA
Rfam family: Bacterial small subunit ribosomal RNA
Source: RNAcentral
UGCGGGGGGGGCAAGCGUUGUUCGGAAUUACUGGGCGUAAAGGGCUCGUAGGUGGCCAACUAAGUCAGACGUGAAAUCCCUCAGCUUAACUGGGGAACUGCGUCUGAUACUGGAUGGCUUGAGUUUGGGAGAGGGAUGCGGAAUUCCAGGUGUAGCGGUGAAAUGCGUAGAUAUCUGGAGGAACACCGGUGGCGAAGGCGGCAUCCUGGACCAACACUGACACUGAGGAGCGAAAGCCAGGGGAGCAAACGGG